Molecule: ribosomal RNA, 459 nt
Filed under: uncultured bacterium
Lineage: Bacteria
Description: partial 16S ribosomal RNA
Rfam family: Bacterial small subunit ribosomal RNA
Source: RNAcentral
CCUACGGGAGGCAGCAGUGAGGAAUAUUGGUCAAUGGGCGCGAGCCUGAACCAGCCAAGUCGCGUGAGGGAAGACGGUCCUAUGGAUUGUAAAUCUCUUUUGUCGGGGAGCAAAAGACGCCACGCGUGGCGUUCCGAGAGUACCCGAAGAAAAAGCAUCGGCUAACUCCGUGCCAGCAGCCGCGGUAAUACGGAGGAUGCGAGCGUUAUCCGGAUUUAUUGGGUUUAAAGGGUGCGCAGGCGGAAGAUCAAGUCAGCGGUAAAAUUGAGAGGCUCAACCUCGUCGAGCCGUUGAAACUGGUUGUCUUGAGGGGGUGAGAGGUAUGCGGAAUGCGUGGUGUAGCGGUGAAAUGCAUAGAUAUCACGCAGAACUCCGAGUGCGAAGGCAGCAUACCGGCGCUCAACGGACGCUGAUGCACGAAAGUGUGGGUAUCGAACAGGAUUAGAUACCCGAGUAGUC